Molecule: ribosomal RNA, 207 nt
Filed under: uncultured bacterium
Lineage: Bacteria
Description: partial 16S ribosomal RNA
Rfam family: Bacterial small subunit ribosomal RNA
Source: RNAcentral
AGCGUAGACGGAUGGACAAGUCUGAUGUGAAAGGCUGGGGCUCAACCCCGGGACUGCAUUGGAAACUGCCCGUCUUGAGUGCCGGAGAGGUAAGCGGAAUUCCUAGUGUAGCGGUGAAAUGCGUAGAUAUUAGGAGGAACACCAGUGGCGAAGGCGGCUUACUGGACGGUAACUGACGUUGAGGCUCGAAGGCGUGGGGAGCAAACA